This 498-nucleotide ribosomal RNA is filed under the name uncultured bacterium. RNAcentral's name for it is "partial 16S ribosomal RNA". It matches the Rfam family "Bacterial small subunit ribosomal RNA", at positions 28 to 523 of the family's 1533-position model. The record is from RNAcentral.
GACGAACGCUGGCGGCGCGCCUAACACAUGCAAGUCGAGCGGAGAUAUUUGAAGGAAGUUUUCGGAUGGAAUUUGGGUAUUUUAGCGGCGGACGGGUGAGUAACGCGUGAGUGACCUGCCUUCCACAGGGGGAUAACGUACCGAAAGGUACACUAAUACCGCAUGAGACCACAGCACUGCCUGGUGCAGGGGUCAAAGGAGCAAUCCGGUGGAAGAUGGACUCGCGUCCGAUUAGAUAGUUGGUGGGGUAACGGCCUACCAAGUCAGCGAUCGGUAGCCGACCUGAGAGGGUGAUCGGCCACAUUGGAACUGGGAGACGGUCCAAACUCCUACGGGAGGCAGCAGUGGGGAAUAUUGGGCAAUGGGGGAAACCCUGACCCAGCGACGCCGCGUGAGGGAAGAAGGUUUUCGGAUUGUAAACCUCUGUUCUUGGUGAAGAGGGAAAGACGGUAGCCAAGGAGGAAGCCCCGGCUAACUACGUGCCAGCCGCCGCGGUAA